AAUUAAUGAAUUAAUUAUAAUUAGUUAAAUUUUAUAUGAAGUUCAAUAUUAAGUUUAGAAAUAUUGGCGGUGUUUUAUUAAAUUCUGAGAAUCUUGCAUAAUUAAAAUGAUAGUACACAAUUUAUCUUAUCUUAGUUUUGUUGGUUUAUAUAUUGCUGUUUUAUUUAUGGUUUGGUUUUGAUAAAAUAGGUAAAAGGAUUUUGUAGUAAGAAGUUCAAGUCAAAAUAUAGUUUUAUUAAGGUUUAUGUGAGUUGCUUUUGUUUAGAAAAUAGGAAUAAUAAAGUAAAAUGAAAUUUUAUAUAAGAAGGGAUUAGGUUGUAAGGGAAAAAUUAAUAAGUUUUCUUGAUAAAUUAUAUGAACAUGU
This 364-nucleotide ribosomal RNA is filed under the name Nahual lanceolatus. RNAcentral's name for it is "partial small subunit ribosomal RNA". The record is from RNAcentral. Lineage: Eukaryota; Metazoa; Arthropoda; Arachnida; Schizomida; Hubbardiidae.